GGCGAGGUAGCUCAGUGGUAGAGCAGUAGGAUCAUAAUCUAUUGGUCGGGGGUUCGAUCCCCCCCUUCGCUA
Molecule: transfer RNA, 72 nt
Filed under: Candidatus Sneabacter namystus
Lineage: Bacteria; Pseudomonadati; Pseudomonadota; Alphaproteobacteria; Rickettsiales; Rickettsiaceae
Rfam family: tRNA
About the family: Transfer RNA (tRNA) molecules are approximately 80 nucleotides in length.
Source: Rfam by way of RNAcentral